Molecule: ribosomal RNA, 473 nt
Filed under: uncultured bacterium
Lineage: Bacteria
Description: bacterial SSU rRNA
Rfam family: Bacterial small subunit ribosomal RNA
Source: RNAcentral
ACUCCUACGGGAGGCAGCAGUAGGGAAUCUUCCACAAUGGGCGCAAGCCUGAUGGAGCAACACCGCGUGAGUGAAGAAGGGUUUCGGCUCGUAAAGCCCUGUUGUUAAAGAAGAACACGUAUGAGAGUAACUGUUCAUACGUUGACGGUAUUUAACCAGAAAGUCACGGCUAACUACGUGCCAGCAGCCGCGGUAAUACGUAGGUGGCAAGCGUUAUCCGGAUUUAUUGGGCGUAAAGAGAGUGCAGGCGGUUUUCUAAGUCUGAUGUGAAAGCCUUCGGCUUAACCGGAGAAGUGCAUCGGAAACUGGAUAACUUGAGUGCAGAAGAGGGUAGUGGAACUCCAUGUGUAGCGGUGGAAUGCGUAGAUAUAUGGAAGAACACCAGUGGCGAAGGCGGCUACCUGGUCUGCAACUGACGCUGAGACUCGAAAGCAUGGGUAGCGAACAGGAUUAGAUACCCUGGUAGGAUAGCG